Molecule: ribosomal RNA, 520 nt
Filed under: uncultured Glomus
Lineage: Eukaryota; Fungi; Glomeromycota; Glomeromycetes; Glomerales; Glomeraceae
Description: SSU rRNA
Rfam family: Eukaryotic small subunit ribosomal RNA
Source: RNAcentral
AGCAGCCGCGGUAAUUCCAGCUCCAAUAGCGUAUAUUAAAGUUGUUGCAGUUAAAAAGCUCGUAGUUGAAUUUCGGGAUCAGUACGUCGGUCGUGCCUUCGGUACGUACUGGUGUUACUGGUUUCUACCUUCUGAAGAACCGUCAUGUCAUUAAUUUGGUGUGGCGGGGAAUCAGGACUGUUACUUUGAAAAAAUUAGAGUGUUUAAAGCAGGCUCGCGCUUGAAUACAUUAGCAUGGAAUAAUGAAAUAGGACGUUCGAUCCUAUUUUGUUGGUUUCUAGGAUUGACGUAAUGAUUAAUAGGGAUAGUUGGGGGCAUUAGUAUUCAAUUGUCAGAGGUGAAAUUCUUGGAUUUAUUGAAGACUAACUACUGCGAAAGCAUUUUGCCAAGGAUGUUUUCAUUAAUCAAGAACGAAAGUUAGGGGAUCGAAGACGAUCAGAUACCGUCGUAGUCUUAACCAUAAACUAUGCCGACUAGGGAUCGGAUGAUGUUAAUUUUUUUAAUGUACUCAUUUCGGCGC